AUGUCCGCCUACAUCCCUAACCAACACAAAAGAUGGACCGUUCCACACACCAUAAAGAGGUUGAGAAGAGGUCACAUACCCGCACAAUCCUCCUUCACCGCCCGGGUUAUGUUUUGUGAUCGAACCACCCUAGUACCCAUGCCAAAUGUGUGUGUUGCCUGUCACGCAAGAAAGAAACCAAAACAUUUUUCCGUUAGUGGAAAACGAAACCAUACAGUUGUGACUGUAGUGUAUAAGAGAGGUCACUCCUCUUGUGUAGACAUUUGUUAUUUCAUCUAUUCCAGUAUACCUGCUUCAUGGUUUCAAGUGUUGUGCCGCCUAUCGCUUUCUCUUCUCGCUUCUCGGCGUGCAACGCAAAGUGAGAAAGCAGGCCUUCGAAAUCCGAGUCUUGUAAUCCUGUACGGGAGCGGUGAUUAG
Molecule: ribosomal RNA, 417 nt
Filed under: Triticum aestivum (bread wheat)
Lineage: Eukaryota; Viridiplantae; Streptophyta; Magnoliopsida; Poales; Poaceae
Description: partial small subunit ribosomal RNA
Source: RNAcentral